Molecule: ribosomal RNA, 422 nt
Filed under: uncultured bacterium
Lineage: Bacteria
Description: bacterial SSU rRNA
Rfam family: Bacterial small subunit ribosomal RNA
Source: RNAcentral
UAAGGAAUAUUGGUCAAUGGUCGCAAGACUGAUCCAGCCAUGCCGCGUGCAGGAAGACGGCCCUAUGGGUUGUAAACUGCUUUUGUACCAGAGAAACCCUAUCUACGUGUAGAUAGCUGAUAGUAUGGUAAGAAUAAGCAUCGGCUAACUUCGUGCCAGCAGCCGCGGUAAGACGAAGGAUGCAAGCGUUAUCCGGAUUCAUUGGGUUUAAAGGGUGCGUAGGCGGGCUUGUAAGUCAGUGGUGAAAUCUCUCAGCUUAACUGAGAAACUGCCAUUGAUACUGCAGGCCUAGAGUAUAGAUGACGUUGGCGGAAUAUGACAUGUAGUGGUGAAAUACUUAGAUAUGUCAUAGAACACCGAUUGCGAAGGCAGCUAACGAAACUAUAACUGACGCUGAGGCACGAAAGUGCGGGGAGCAAACA